GAUUGGUACAUGCAAACAGCGGAGAGGGGUUAAGGCGGUGCAGGAGAUUUCUAUGACGGAGACAAUUCGUUACAAUUAUGUGGCUGAGCUUCAGAGAAAAGUAGCAAAAUGUGGUCCCAUCUCGGUUUAUCUGGACAUUAACUCGGGAAGAGAAAAAAAAAACAAUUUUCAGCAUUACAAACAACAUUGAAUGUGGAAAUAAGCCGGAAGAUCUCAAUCACGCUGUACUGGUAGUUGGAUACGGCGAAACACCUGAAGGUCAAGGUUACUGGAUCAUCAAGAAUAGUUAUGGUACAGUUUGGGGCUUGGAAGGCUAUAUGAAGAUGAUGAGAAACGGACAAAACACAUGUGGAAUAGCAACUCGUGCAAGCUUUCCAAUCAUAGAUGAACCAAUCGACAUCAGUUGUUAUAGUUUCUAAACUUUCUUUGAAUGUAUGGUUUGCUUGUUGUAUGAUGUCGGAGUAAUUUGAUAUUGUUUGUUUCAAAGUUACAGAAUUUGCUAGAAAGAAGAUACAAGAAAUAUACAUUUUAUUAAUUUGAAAUUCUGACUGUUUUAAGUACAUAUCAAGCCAAGUCAGUUACGCACAGCAAAGACAUAUUCUGGUUAAUCAACCAAACGGUUAGCGGAUGAAGGAGAUUAAAUGAAGUGUGAUAGCUUUAUCUUAUACAAUAUUUAUGACCAUUCCCAAUUAGACCCUUUUAUAUAUCAAUUAUCUCCUAAACUAUAUGUCUAAUCCUUUAUACAUUUUA
Mercenaria mercenaria is the source of this 750-nucleotide long non-coding RNA. RefSeq lists it as uncharacterized. Lineage: Eukaryota; Metazoa; Mollusca; Bivalvia; Venerida; Veneridae. The record is from RefSeq and is a predicted model, not a curated record. The transcript is spliced from 3 exons.